Gadus morhua (Atlantic cod) is the source of this 803-nucleotide long non-coding RNA. RefSeq lists it as uncharacterized. The record is from RefSeq and is a predicted model, not a curated record. The transcript has 3 exons. NCBI's taxonomy places the organism in Eukaryota, Metazoa, Chordata, Actinopteri, Gadiformes, Gadidae.
UUCAGAGGAGGGUCUUCUGAGGCUGCUGCCAGUGGUCAAAGCCUCCAAAACAUCUCUGUUGAAUGCCUGUGAUCUGUCAGAGACAUGCUGUGAAGCUCUGGCCUCAGUUCUCAGCUCCAACUCCUCUAGUCUGAGAGAGCUGGACCUGAGUAUCAACUCUCUGAAUGAUUCAGGAGUGAAGAUGCUCUCUGCUGGACUAGGAAGUCCACACUGUACACUGGAAACUCUCAGGCUGAAUCACUGUGAGCUGUCAGAGACAUGCUGUGAAGCUCUGGCCUCAGUUCUCAGCUCCAAUUCCUCUAGUCUGAGAGUGCUGGACCUGAGUGACAAUGAUCUGCAGGAUUCAGGAGUGAAGCUGCUCUCUGCUGGACUGGGGAGUCCACACUGUACACUGGAAACGCUCAGGUCUGUUCUAUUCAAUUGUCAAACAGUUACAGCACAAGUUAUAUAACUCAGUUUAUGACUCAGUACCUGUGAUGACUACCUUAAUGACUUUGGUUUCAUUGGAAAUGUUAAACCGUGUUGUUUAGGUGGAUUUCAACUUUUCUGCAACUUUUCAAUUAGACACAUAAACAUGAACUAAAAAUACAAUAAUAGUGCCCCCCCACCAUCCCCCGUACACGGUACGGUGAUAGUUUAGAGCAGGGUGAAGUACAGGGGGUCUUGGGAGGGUCUGAGAUCCCUAGUUGGACACCUCACACCCCCUGAAAUCCUCAACAGCAACAUUCUGGAGGGUCUCUUGAAAGAUAUAAAAAUAACUUGCAAUUGUCACAUGUAUGUGUUUUUAAAGCUUACUUUGUUCA